Long non-coding RNA from Belonocnema kinseyi, 339 nucleotides. RefSeq lists it as uncharacterized. The transcript has 3 exons. The record is from RefSeq and is a predicted model, not a curated record. Lineage: Eukaryota; Metazoa; Arthropoda; Insecta; Hymenoptera; Cynipidae.
ACGAACAGCACAAUUACGAAAGAAUAAAAAAACUGACGGGAAAACUGCGAAGGUAGAUGAGGAAUGUUAUAUCAAACCUGAUUUCGAAAUCAAUAGAAAAUCUUAAGUGAACGGUUCAAUAGAGUGUGGAAAAAUAUUCAGAGGGGCGAAGGCUUUAAAGUGGAUGGAAUGAUUUGAGGAAGAGCGUAUUCUAAAUAAAGAAACGAAUUUUGUGUAUCUAAAAUAUGAGUGACAUUUAGUGGAAUUAGAGGGAAAUAAGAAGAAUUCAAUGAAAUUCAUUAAAAUUCAAGUAAAUUGAAAACAAUUCGAACAUAUGAAAAACUUAGUUGAAUCCAGUAA